UACGGUGGGGGCAAGCGUUGUUCGGAAUUACUGGGCGUAAAGGGCUCGUAGGCGGCCCACUAAGUCCGACGUGAAAUCCCCAGGCUUAACUUGGGAACUGCGUCGGAUACUGGUGGGCUUGAAUCCGGGAGAGGGAUGCGGAAUUCCAGGUGUAGCGGUGAAAUGCGUAGAUAUCUGGAGGAACACCGGUGGCGAAGGCGGCAUCCUGGACCGGCAUUGACGCUGAGUGAGCGAAAGCCAGGGGAGCAAACGGG
RNAcentral lists this ribosomal RNA (254 nucleotides) under uncultured bacterium. Its description in RNAcentral is "partial 16S ribosomal RNA". It matches the Rfam family "Bacterial small subunit ribosomal RNA", at positions 524 to 776 of the family's 1533-position model. The record is from RNAcentral.